This 455-nucleotide ribosomal RNA is filed under the name uncultured bacterium. RNAcentral describes it as "bacterial SSU rRNA". It matches the Rfam family "Bacterial small subunit ribosomal RNA", at positions 335 to 800 of the family's 1533-position model. The record is from RNAcentral.
ACUCCUACGGGGGCAGGCAGUGGGGAAGUCAUUAGACAAUGGGGGCAAACCCGUAGCAUCUAGCCCAUGCCGCGUGUGUGACGAAGGCCCUAGGGUCGUAAAGCACUUUCGCCGGGGAAGAUAAUGACGGUACCCGGUAAAGAAGUCCCGGCUAACUCCGUGCCAGCAGCCGCGGUAAUACGGAGGGGACUAGCGUUGUUCGGAAUUACUGGGCGUAAAGCGCGCGUAGGCGGACCAUUAAGUCAGGGGUGAAAUCCCGGGGCUCAACCCCGGAACUGCCCUUGAUACUGGUGGUCUGGAGUUCUGGAGAGGUGAGUGGAAUUCCGAGUGUAGAGGUGAAAUUCGUAGAUAUUCGGAGGAACACCAGUGGCGAAGGCGGCUCACUGGCCAGAUACUGACGCUGAGGUGCGAAAGUGUGGGGAGCAAACAGGAUUAGAUACCCUGGUAGGCUCUGC